This 846-nucleotide ribosomal RNA is filed under the name Corynebacterium sp. Its description in RNAcentral is "bacterial SSU rRNA". It matches the Rfam family "Bacterial small subunit ribosomal RNA", at positions 59 to 918 of the family's 1533-position model. Lineage: Bacteria; Bacillati; Actinomycetota; Actinomycetes; Mycobacteriales; Corynebacteriaceae. The record is from RNAcentral.
CAGUCGAACGGUAAGGCCCCAGCUUGCUGGGGUACACGAGUGGCGAACGGGUGAGUAACACGUGGGUGACCUGCCCCGCACUUCGGGAUAAGCCUGGGAAACUGGGUCUAAUACCGGAUAGGACCGCACCGUGAGGGUGUGGUGGAAAGUUUUUCGGUGUGGGAUGGGCCCGCGGCCUAUCAGCUUGUUGGUGGGGUAAUGGCCUACCAAGGCGGCGACGGGUAGCCGGCCUGAGAGGGUGGACGGCCACAUUGGGACUGAGACACGGCCCAGACUCCUACGGGAGGCAGCAGUGGGGAAUAUUGCACAAUGGGCGGAAGCCUGAUGCAGCGACGCCGCGUGGGGGAUGACGGCCUUCGGGUUGUAAACUCCUUUCACCAUCGACGAAGGUUUUCUGACGGUAGAUGGAGAAGAAGCACCGGCUAACUACGUGCCAGCAGCCGCGGUAAUACGUAGGGUGCGAGCGUUGUCCGGAAUUACUGGGCGUAAAGAGCUCGUAGGUGGUUUGUCGCGUCGUCUGUGAAAUUCCGGGGCUUAACUCCGGGCGUGCAGGCGAUACGGGCAUAACUUGAGUACUGUAGGGGAGACUGGAAUUCCUGGUGUAGCGGUGAAAUGCGCAGAUAUCAGGAGGAACACCGGUGGCGAAGGCGGGUCUCUGGGCAGUAACUGACGCUGAGGAGCGAAAGCAUGGGUAGCGAACAGGAUUAGAUACCCUGGUAGUCCAUGCCGUAAACGGUGGGCGCUAGGUGUAGGGGUCUUCCACGACUUCUGUGCCGUAGCUAACGCAUUAAGCGCCCCGCCUGGGGAGUACGGCCGCAAGGCUAAAACUCAAAGGAAUUGACGGGG